This 457-nucleotide ribosomal RNA is filed under the name uncultured bacterium. RNAcentral describes it as "bacterial SSU rRNA". It matches the Rfam family "Bacterial small subunit ribosomal RNA", at positions 340 to 786 of the family's 1533-position model. The record is from RNAcentral.
UACGGGAGGCAGCAGUGGGGAAUAUUGCACAAUGGGCGAAAGCCUGAUGCAGCUAUGCCGCGUGUAUGAAGAAGGCCUUAGGGUUGUAAAGUACUUUCAUCGGGGAGGAAAAACAAAACUAAUAAUUUUAUUUCUUGACGUUACCCGAAAAAGAAGCACCGGCUAACUCCGUGCCAGCAGCCGCGGUAAUACGGAGGGUGCUAGCGUUAAUCAGAAUUACUGGGCGUAAAGAGCACGUAGGUGGUUUUUUUAAAGUCAGAUGUGAAAUCCCUGGGCUUAACCUAGGAACUGCAUUUUUGAAACUGAAAUACUAGAGUAUCGUAGAGGGAGGUAGAAUUCUAGGUGUAGCGGUGAAAUGCGUAGAUAUCUGGAGGAAUACCUGUGGCGAAAGCGGCCUCCUAAACGAAUACUGACACUGAGGUGCGAAAGCGUGGGGAGCAAACAGGGAUUAGAUACC